Anolis carolinensis (green anole) is the source of this 5059-nucleotide long non-coding RNA. RefSeq lists it as uncharacterized. NCBI's taxonomy places the organism in Eukaryota, Metazoa, Chordata, Lepidosauria, Squamata, Anolidae. The transcript has 3 exons. The record is from RefSeq and is a predicted model, not a curated record.
CCAUCCAGAAAUGGUGAGGGAACCUCCUGCCACCCACGACUAAGAUGGAAUUUGCAGGAUGGUUGUGCAAUAGUGUGGAAUGGAGUUAUCUGGUCCUUGCUUUUAGGGUUUGCUGGUGGGUUGCUGCUUUAGGUUUGUGUUUGGAUUUGGUUUGGUUAGCUUUGAUAGCACAAGCCAGAUUGCACAUAGUAGUAAUAAAAUUAUAACACAUAUAAAACGAAAAUAAAGGAUUAAAUAAUAGAUAAUUCCACUCACGUUCCGGGUGUCUUGUAAAUGAGGUAUUUCUCCUUUAAGACCGGAGGGAAACCCACCCAGGGAUUGGUUAUUGUCCAGUAGGUCGCAGAAGCAGGAAAUAUACUGUGCGAUGUGGGAGUAUCUGGUCCUUGCGGAAGGGUUAGCUGGUGGGUUGCUGAUCUGGGGCUGCCUUGGGGAUAACUUGACGUCCUGGCCCUUGGUGGCACAGUGUGUUAAAGCACUGAGCUGCUGAAGUUGCGGACCAAAAGGUCCCAGGUUCAAAUCCCGGGAGCGGAAUGAGCGCCAGCUGUUAGCCCCAGCUCCUGCCAACCUAGCAGUUCGAAAACAUGCCAAUGUGAGUACAUCAAUAGGUACCGCUCUGGCGGGAAGGUAACGGCGCUCCAUGCAGUCAUGCCGGCCACAUGACCUGGAGAUGUCUAUGGACAACUCCGGCUCUUUGGCUUAGAAAUGGAGAUGAGCACCAACCCCCAGAGUCGGUCACGACUGGACUUAACGUCAGUGGAAACCUUUACCUUUUACCUGGGGAUAACUUGACGUCCUGGCCCAGGCCCACUAUCUAAUCCUCUGAAGGCGGCAGGUGGCCCACAAGCCAGAUUGCACAUAAAGUUCAGCAAUACUGUGGUUCGGGGAAAACAAGUUUCUUGCAUCCAAGGGGAAAACGGUGAAGAAACAGCCAGCCACGGAAUUGUACAGGAUGGUUGUGCAAUAGUGCGGCCUAGAGUUAUCUGGUCCUUCCUGAAGGGUUGCUGCUGGUUUGGUUUUGGUUUGGUUUGGUUUGUGUGAGGGAGGAGUAUCUGGUCCUUGCGGAAGGGUUGGGCCCAUGCCCUUUCCGCACAACCACCUGUAAUGAAGUAUGAAUUUUGGUUUAAUUGUGUGUUUAUGUUUUAAAAGGGUAAGUAUUACAGUUAUUGCAUCUCAGCACUCAGAGGCUGGUUGCCAUGGGAAAGUAGGCGGAGCCAUCUGCCGUUUAGUUGAAGAAAGUGCAGAGUUUAAAAAAGAAAGUCAGCCUGUGCUCUGAUGAGGCACAGGGAAGAUUGAUUCUAGUUUGAUGGGAUCAAGGAGACUCAAUUGUUCAUUUUGAGUCGGUUUUAAAUAAGUUUGGUGACUUAUUUAAUGUAGUCUGUGUCCUGGAAAGGCACAGAGAAUCUGUGAUAGUAUAUCACAGGGGUGACUGUGGUUUGAAGUCACUGGAUAGUCCAAGUUUCAGACUUUGGGAACCAAUCCCAGCUGGACUCACAGAAAUCCAUUGAAGUAACAGUUAGAAAGGAGCAAAGGAAUAGGUUUUAACUACUUUAAGUAAAAGAAGUGACACUUUAGAGAGUUUGAUUCAUCUGAUUCUAGUAUUCCUUCAGGGGAGAUGGAGGCGGGAAAUAAAUAAACUUAUUGUUGUUGUUGUUGUUGUUGUUGUUAAUCUGCAAUGGUGGAACUGGGAUACACUGUUCCAUGUUUGUUUCUGUAUUGCUUUAAUUGGACCAAUCCUCGUGUGGGAUCCUGGCCAGUCUCUUUUCAUAGAAUCAUAGAAUCAUAGAAUAGUAGAGUUGGAAGAGACCUCAUGGGCCAUCCAGUCCAACCCGCUGCUAAGAAGCAGGAAAUCGCAUUCAAAGCACCCCCGACAGAUGGCCAUCCAGCCUCUGCUUCAAAGCCUCCAAAGAAGGAGCCUCCACCACAGUCCGGGGGAGAGAAAGAGUUCCACUGCCGAACAGCCCUUCUCACGGUGAGGAAGUUCUUCCUGAUGUUCAGGUGGAAUCUCCUUUCCUGUAGUUUGAAGCCAUUGUUCCCUUGCGUCCUAGUCUGCAGGGCAGCAGAAAACAAGCUCCCUCCCUCCUCCCUAUGACUUCCCUUCACGUAUUUGUACAUGGCUCUCAUGUCUCCUCUCAGCCUUCUCUUCUGCAGGCUAAACAUGCCCAGCUCUUUAAGCCGCUCCUCAUAGGGCUUGUUCUCCAGACCCUUAAUCAUUUUAGUCGCCCUCCUCUGGACGCUUUCCAGCUUGUCAACCUCUCCCUUCAACUGUGGUGCCCAAAAUUGGACACAGUGUGAUUCCAGGUGUGGUCUGACCAAGGCAGAAUAGAAUAAGGGGGAGCAGGACUUCCCUGGAUCUAGACGCUAUUCCCCUAUUGAUGCAGGACAGGAUCCCACUGGCUUUCUUAGCAGCCGCAUCACAUUGUUGGCUCAUGUUUAACUUGUUGUUCACGAGGACUCCUGUCAGAGUAAUGCACGCAGUGUAGCAGCAGAAGUAUGAUGUCAGUUGAAGCGCAGAACGAAGGAACGUCAAAGACAAUGUUAGAAAGUAUUUACAAAGUUUUACUUGACAAGACAAACAGACUUGCAGACAAUGGACAUAAGACUUUCGCUCUAGACAAACAGCACAGAUCUCAUCUGAUGCAAUCAGCAAUAUACAAACACACUUGAGUCUGGACACUCCUAUCUGGCUCCAGCCCCACAUCCAAGGUCAAUACAGCUUCUUACCAAUUAACUCUUUACAGACUAUAGCAUACUCUGGAUGAUGCAACCUGUAUGCAAUACAUGCCAGACACAAAUUUCAUUUAAACACUACCAAUACACAAAUCCCACAUUAACAACUCCAAGGUCUUUUUCACAUAUACUGCUGUCGAGCCAGGCAUCGUCCCGCAUUCUGUAUCUUUGAUUUCCAUUUUUUCUGCCGAAGUGAAGUAUCUUGCAUUUGUCCCUGUUGAAGUUCAUUUUGUUAGUUUCGGCCCAUCUCUCUAGUCUGUCAGGAUCGUUUUGGAUUCUGCUCCUGUCUUCUGGAGUGUUGGCUCUCCCUCCCAGUUUUGUGUCGUCUGCAAACUUGAUGAUCGUGCCUUCUGACCCUUCGUCUAAGUCAUUAAUGAAGAUCCUGAACAGAACCGGGCCCAGGACGGAGCCCUGCUUGUGGCACUCAACUCGUGACUUCUUUCCAAGAUGAAGCCGACGCAUUGGUGAGAAUCACCCUUUGGGUUCGUUCGCUUAGCCAAUUACAGAUCCACCUAACCGUAGUUUUGUCUAGCCCACAUUUUACUAGUUUGUUUGCCAGAAGGUCGUGGGGGACUUUGUCGAAGGCCUUACUGAAAUCCAGGUACGCUACAUCCACAGCAUUCCCUGUAUCAACCCAACUCGUAACUCUAUCGAAAAAAGAGAUCAGAUGAGUCUGGCAUGACUUGUUUUUGGUAAAUCCGUGUUGACUGUUAGCAAUGACCGCAUUUGUUUCUAAGUGUUCGCAGACCACUUCCUUAAUGAUCUUUUCCAGAAUCUUGCCUGGUAUUGAUGUGAGGCUGACCGGACGGUAAUUGUUUGGGUCGUUCUUUUUUCCCUUCUUGAAGAUAGGGACCACAUUCGCCCUCCUCCAAUUAUGUUUGUAAUUUUGGAACAGAAAGCUCGCAAGCAUCACAUCUUGGAAGAUGGAAAUAAAACGCCUCUGUCCUAUGUCUUCGCUUUGCUGGUGAGUUUUAAUCUGGAACUUUGGGUUUAUUAUUAUUUAUGGUUGGUUAGCUCAGGCUGUUCCCUCUCAAUUGAUUACAGUCUAAAUUCCAUAUCAUUUCCCCCAGUUCUUGGAUGAGAAGCCUACUUCCUUGUGCCAUUCAUCAUGGAUCCUGUUGACAUCUAUUAGUUGUCUCACCCAUGUUUCCAGCCACAAAGGCCACUUCACAAGGCCGGCUUUGUGCUUCAUUCCCUGCUGAGCAUCAGGGUUUUGGUUGCCCAGUUUCUCUUGGGAGGGGAUAUAAAGGAAGGAGGUGGGCAGAGCUGGAGCUUCACUGGGUCCUGCCUCGCCAUGAAGUCCUCAACUUGCUUCAUCCUCCUCCUCGCUCUCCUGGCCCUCUCUGCCGUGACGCACGCUGCCUUUGGGAAUGGUGAGUGGCACCUUGGGAACCCCUUGAAGGCACCUCUGGUCCCAUUCCAGAUCAGGCCUUGCUUCUCAUACAUGCCUGCUUUGGGCUGGCCUUCUUCAUCCGACUCCUCUGGUUCCUCCAGCCUAGAGACCAGACCAGAGCAUGGCAGGAUGGGCCAGGUCAUGAUGGUCAAGAGGGUCCACUGGCUCUCAUCCUCCUGGGCAUCAGGAGUAGUUGCCCUUUUGCUUCCUGCCAAAGCCAUCCCACCCACUGACGCCUGUCGACUACAGCGCUUGGCUGGCUCAAAAAUCUGUCCAACUUGAAGACAGAAGGACUUUCUCUAAAAGGCACAGCACAGGGCACUAUGGCCUUGCCUUGUCAGAACCAGGUGCUAGUAGAAUACAACAUGCAUGGGCUUUGUGUUAAAACUUUUAAAUGAGCUUCAUUGGCUCAGUUGUCCUUUUUGUGGUCUUUCCUCCAUUUAGUCUACAGUCAACAUGUUUCUGGUCCACCUGAUAACGGCCUCGUCCCCCAAACAGUCCUUUCUCCCAGAUACAUCUUCCUUCUCCCAAAGGUGCCUCCUUCUUGUGGGAAAGUCCCCUGCUCACGAGCUGGCUGGUGUCUCACUCAAAGUAGGCUCAAGAGAAGCCCGGGAAUUGCCCACAGGUAAAACCAGGCACGCUUGUAGACUGCAGCGCACAGUGCAACUCUGAUGUUGGGUGCCCUGGGAACAAGAAGUGUUGCUACUCUUACUUCUGCAAAAUCUGCCUGGAUCCUGAGAAGGUCUGACCUUGGAGGAGGCCUGGAUCCAUGGACAGCGACCACCAGAGAAGUCUGUCUGAAGCUCUUCUGCCCAUCUCUGCUGCUCCACCCAAGUCCACAUCCCACCCUGCUCCAUCCCCACUUGCCCCAUGGAUGACGGUCCCAAUUCUGCUUUGCUAACCCCCUUCCACUAACAAUAAAUGCACCAGCCUCCUCGA